Molecule: unclassified non-coding RNA, 27 nt
Filed under: Mus musculus (house mouse)
Lineage: Eukaryota; Metazoa; Chordata; Mammalia; Rodentia; Muridae
Description: oocyte_clustered_small_RNA12187
Source: RNAcentral
CUGGAGGAAGUGCCACCGGCAGGGCUU